UACGUAGGCAGCGAGCGUUGUUCGGAAUUACUGGGCGUAAAGAGUGUGUAGGCGGUGUUCCCAGUCUGCUGUGAAAUCUCCCGGCUUAACUGGGAGGGUGCAGCGGAAACUAGAAUGCUAGAGGGUGGGAGAGGUAAGCGGAAUUCCUGGUGUAGCGGUGAAAUGCGUAGAUAUCAGGAGGAACACCUGUGGUGUAGACAGCUUACUGGACCACUUCUGACGCUGAGACACGAAAGCGUGGGUAGCAAACAGG
This 253-nucleotide ribosomal RNA is filed under the name uncultured bacterium. RNAcentral's name for it is "partial 16S ribosomal RNA". It matches the Rfam family "Bacterial small subunit ribosomal RNA", at positions 524 to 776 of the family's 1533-position model. The record is from RNAcentral.